This 23-nucleotide non-coding RNA is filed under the name Arabidopsis thaliana (thale cress). The record is from RNAcentral. Lineage: Eukaryota; Viridiplantae; Streptophyta; Magnoliopsida; Brassicales; Brassicaceae.
CAACAUAGGUGCAGGCGAUGCAC